Molecule: non-coding RNA, 78 nt
Organism: Clostridium sp. BL8
Lineage: Bacteria; Bacillati; Bacillota; Clostridia; Eubacteriales; Clostridiaceae
Source: Rfam
AUAAUGAUACUUCCACUUAGUCCUAGGUAUCCCAUGGAGAGUGGCUUCCACAUUGUGGGAGAGGUUAAAGUCCUAUGA